RNAcentral lists this long non-coding RNA (867 nucleotides) under Drosophila guanche. Lineage: Eukaryota; Metazoa; Arthropoda; Insecta; Diptera; Drosophilidae. The record is from RNAcentral.
CUCUUAUUACUACAUAUUAUCAUUAGUUUUAGUCACUUAUCAAUAACUAUUUUUACAUUCACCUCCCCCAACCAUGGACCGCUGUUGGGGUCGAGACGACUGUACACACCCAACGAAUGCGCUGGCAGAGACGCCAGCAGAGGAGAUUACAGUCUGCCCAAAGUGACAUGCAUGUGCUGCCUAUGGCUGCAUAACAGCAGUCAGCAGGCAAACGCAUGCAACCAUAAGUUAAAUAGCAGCCCUAAAAAUAUUGUAUAUAAUGCUAAGGAAAGUAUCGAUACAAUAAAAUAUAUUUAUCGGAGCGUGAGCUGGCUCCCCUGAACCUGCUGGUUCAGAUUCAGGUGGGAGCUGGUUCACGUUCCGAUAAACUAGUACACGUGUGCCACCGCAGCAUACGACAAGCAAAAAAAUGUGCCAACUGUAAAGGCCCUCAUGCUGCCAGCUAUAGAGGAUGCAUUGCGUUUAAAAACGCUGCAAGAAGAAGAGCUCCAAGCGAUGUACAGCGUGCAAACAAUCUGUUGACGGGACUAGGUAUGCCAGCACUACCUUUGCCCUCAACACGACCUAAACGUCGUCAACGCCAGCCAAGUGUUCAUCGCUCACAAAGCCACCUUCGUCAAAACAGUCGCCUGCGUCCUGAAUCAGGACCUGCUCCCAUUGUCAAUCAGCAAAGCUACGCUGAUGUUACCAGAGGACGUCGGCAAGGGGCUGAAGUAUUAACUCUACAGCAACAACGUCGAUCCCGUUCUAGAGCCCAAGCCGUUUCCACUGUUCGUAGGCAACAAUCUGUAAACUACAAUCAAUCCUUAAAUCGCAGUCAAAGCGCAGCCAACUUUGNGUGGUUUGUACGUAUAUGACUUAAGUUCG